This 255-nucleotide ribosomal RNA is filed under the name uncultured bacterium. Its description in RNAcentral is "partial 16S ribosomal RNA". It matches the Rfam family "Bacterial small subunit ribosomal RNA", at positions 526 to 779 of the family's 1533-position model. The record is from RNAcentral.
CGGAGGAUGCGAGCGUUAUCCGGAUUUAUUGGGUUUAAAGGGAGCGCAGACGGGUCGUUAAGUCAGCUGUGAAAGUUUGGGGCUCAACCUUAAAAUUGCAGUUGAUACUGGCGUCCUUGAGUGCGGUUGAGGUGUGCGGAAUUCGUGGUGUAGCGGUGAAAUGCUUAGAUAUCACGAAGAACUCCGAUUGCGAAGGCAGCACACUAAGCCGUAACUGACGUUCAUGCUCGAAAGUGUGGGGUAUCAAACAGGAUU